Molecule: transfer RNA, 69 nt
Filed under: Trichopria drosophilae
Lineage: Eukaryota; Metazoa; Arthropoda; Insecta; Hymenoptera; Diapriidae
Description: tRNA-Leu
Source: RNAcentral
UUUAUAAAAUUUAAUUAUUUAAUAUUAAAUUUAGAAUUUAUUUAAACAUAAUUAUUUAUGUAAAUAAUA